Molecule: ribosomal RNA, 252 nt
Filed under: uncultured prokaryote
Description: partial 16S rRNA
Rfam family: Bacterial small subunit ribosomal RNA
Source: RNAcentral
ACGUAGGGGGCGAGCGUUGUCCGGAAUCAUUGGGCGUAAAGAGCUCGUAGGCGGUUCAGUAAGUCGGGUGUGAAAGCUCCGAGCUCAACUCGGAGAGGCCACUCGAUACUGCUGUGACUAGAAUCCAGUAGGGGAGUGUGGAACUCCUGGUGUAGCGGUGAAAUGCGCAGAUAUCAGGAAGAACACCAGCGGCGAAGGCGGCACUCUGGGCUGGUAUUGACGCUGAGGAGCGAAAGUGUGGGUAGCAAACAG